Molecule: long non-coding RNA, 1446 nt
Filed under: Anser cygnoides (Swan goose)
Lineage: Eukaryota; Metazoa; Chordata; Aves; Anseriformes; Anatidae
Description: lncRNA (ENSACDG00005007971.1)
Source: RNAcentral
UCACUUGUUCCGUACACAUUAUUCGUAGCAGUACUAUUGUCAUUAUUAUUAUUUUCCUGUCUUAAUAAGCUGUCUUUAUCUCAACCCACAGGCUUCACUUUCCCGUUUCUCUCCGCAGUCCCAGAGAGGGAAGGGGGAGGAUGAGCGAAGGGCUGUGUGGUGCUGAGCUGCUGGCCGAGUUAAACCAUAGCACAGGGUGGUCCCCAGGCACAAGGGAGCACGGGGACCCCACACACUUGGGAGCAAGCUCCCUGCUGAGCCCCCAGCUUGGCAGCAUCCCUGUUGGGCCUGGGGAGGUCUGCACCUGCAGCCUGCAUCCCCCUGGCGGGGGGGGCUGGGGACCCCUCCCUGGGGGGCUGUGCAGGGCUGGCAUGUCCCCGUGUUCGGACACUGUCCCCAUGACCCCUCUGUGCCUGCACGUCCCUGGUAAAAUGCACGGACUAGGAUGAGCAAACAUCCCCACAGCUGCUCCCCGGCACUGGGAGCUGGGGGGGCUGCGGGGCCCUUCAGAAGACCCUGGCCGGGUGGGAAAUGGGGUCCCCGGCCACUUGGGGGGACACAGCUUGGCUGCGGAGCGGGUUGGGGCCCUGGGAGAACCCCAGCCCCACUGACAUCACGGUGACAGCACAGUGUCCCCAUGGCUACACAACAUCACGCGUAGGCUCCGUGGGUGCCAGCGGCCGCAGCAGGAGGAGGCAGCGCCGCACCCCCAGUACCACCAUGUGCCGCUGGGCCCCCCGGCCGCGCGCCCCACCAAGGCGGCGCAAGAGGAGCCCCCGGCCCAGCAGCCGGCGCAGGCGGCGCCGUGGGAAGAGGCAGCGGAGACGUUUCCAAGCGAAGACGGUGUAUUACUACCGGAGGAACAGGGCCCUGUGAGCGCUCGCCAUGCCUGCGCCCCUGGAGCACCCGUGGGCGCUGCCAUCCGCCCCAGCCGUGCUCCCCGAAGGCUGCUGGGGAUUCACCUGCCAUUAAAUCCUGCGUGUCAUCCUGCACAGCCUCCUCUGUCCUUCCUGGUGCCGCCGGCCCCAACGCACUCACCCCUGGUCCCUCCCAGACCCCAUCCGCCUCGGGGUCACCUCCCUCUCAGCCCUGCCCGGCCCCUGGCUCCCAGCCCCAGCACGGGGGGAGCUCACCGUGAGCACCGUGGGUGGGUUUGGGGGUGGCCCACCGGGGGCCGUGGCUGCCCACAGGUUGCACACAAGGGCUGGCAUCCUGGGCACAGGGGGGCUCUGGGCUGGGUCCUGAUGGUGCCCCCACUGCUUCAGGGUGACAUGGAGAUGGGGGGACCCAGGACACAGACACCCGGCACGCACACUGCUCCGUGCCACGCAGGGGCUGCUCCUGGCCCCGCUCCGACCCAAGCAGCCCCUGCACCCAGCGGGAGUAGGACAGGGACAGCAUGGGGACAGGGCUUCGACGGCUGGGGUCAAUGACACUGCCGUGACA